This 72-nucleotide transfer RNA is filed under the name Fukomys damarensis (Damara mole-rat). It matches the Rfam family "tRNA". Rfam says of the family: Transfer RNA (tRNA) molecules are approximately 80 nucleotides in length. Their secondary structure includes four short double-helical elements and three loops (D, anti-codon, and T loops). Further hydrogen bonds mediate the characteristic L-shaped molecular structure. tRNAs have two regions of fundamental functional importance: the anti-codon, which is responsible for specific mRNA codon recognition, and the 3' end, to which the tRNAs corresponding amino acid is attached (by aminoacyl-tRNA synthetases). tRNAs cope with the degeneracy of the genetic code in two manners: having more than one tRNA (with a specific anti-codon) for a particular amino acid; and 'wobble' base-pairing, i.e. permitting non-standard base-pairing at the 3rd anti-codon position. The record is from Rfam by way of RNAcentral. Lineage: Eukaryota; Metazoa; Chordata; Mammalia; Rodentia; Bathyergidae.
GGUUCCGUGGUGUAAUGGUUAGCACUCUGGACUCUGAAUCUAGCGAUCCGAGUUCAAAUCUCGGUGGGACCU